GACGAACGCUGGCGGCGUGCUUAACACAUGCAAGUCGAACGGAAAGGCCCUGCUUUUGUGGGGUGCUCGAGUGGCGAACGGGUGAGUAACACGUGAGUAACCUGCCCUUGACUUUGGGAUAACUUCAGGAAACUGGGGCUAAUACCGGAUAGGAGCUCCUGCUGCAGGGUGGGGGUUGGAAAGUUUCGGCGGUUGGGGAUGGACUCGCGGCUGAUCAGCUUGUGGGUGGGGUAGUGGCUCACCAAGGCUUUGACCGGUAGCCGGCCUGAGAGGGUGGCCGGCCACACUGGGAGUGAGACACGGCCCAGACUCCUACGGGAGGCCGCAGUGGGGAAUGUUGGACAAUGGGCGGAAGCCUGAUCCAGCAAUGCCGCGUGCAGGAAGAAGGCCUUCGGGUUGUAAACUGCUUUUGUACGGAACGAAACGGCUCUGGUUAAUACCCGGGGCUAAUGACGGUACCGUAAGAAUAAGCACCGGCUAACUACGUG
RNAcentral lists this ribosomal RNA (488 nucleotides) under uncultured bacterium. Its description in RNAcentral is "partial 16S ribosomal RNA". It matches the Rfam family "Bacterial small subunit ribosomal RNA", at positions 28 to 507 of the family's 1533-position model. The record is from RNAcentral.